UCCCUCUUAGCUCAGUUGGUAGAGCGCGUCACUAGUAUUUCCAGAGAUUACAUCUUGAUAUACAUAUGACGAGGUCAGUCGUUCAAAUCGGCUAGCGGGAA
Non-coding RNA from Mycena haematopus, 101 nucleotides. NCBI's taxonomy places the organism in Eukaryota, Fungi, Basidiomycota, Agaricomycetes, Agaricales, Mycenaceae. The record is from the annotation of a GenBank genome assembly.